AACGAACGCUGGCGGCAUGCCUAACACAUGCAAGUCGAACGAAGCCUUCGGGCUUAGUGGCACACGGGUGCGUAACGCGUGGGAGUCUGCCCUUGGGUUCGGAAUAACAGUUAGAAAUGACUGCUAAUACCGAAUGAUGUCUUCGGACCAAAGAUUUAUCGCCCAAGGAUGAGCCCGCGUCGGAUUAGCUAGUUGGUGAGGUAAAGGCUCACCAAGGCGACGAUCCGUAGCUGGUCUGAGAGGAUGAUCAGCCACACUGGGACUGAGACACGGCCCAGACUCCUACGGGAGGCAGCAGUGGGGGAAUAUUGGACAAUGGCGGAAAAGGACCUGAUCCAGCAAUGCCGCGUGAGUGAUAAAGGCCUAGGUUGUAAGACUCUUUUACCCGGGUACGUGAUAAUAGACAGUACCGGGA
This 415-nucleotide ribosomal RNA is filed under the name uncultured bacterium. Its description in RNAcentral is "bacterial SSU rRNA". It matches the Rfam family "Bacterial small subunit ribosomal RNA", at positions 29 to 483 of the family's 1533-position model. The record is from RNAcentral.